AGAGUUUGAUCCUGGCUCAGGACGAACGCUGGCGGUGUGCUUCACACAUGCAAGUCGAACGGGGUAGCAAUACCCAGUGGCGGACGGGUGAGUAACACGUGGGAAUCUGCCUUAGAGUGGGGAAUAACUGGGCGAAAGUUCAGCUAAUACCGCAUAUGCCGAGAGGUGAAAGGAGCAAUUCGCUUUAAGAUGAGCCCGCGGCCGAUUAGCUAGUUGGUAGGGUAAAGGCCUACCAAGGCUGUGAUCGGUAGCUGGUCUGAGAGGAUGAUCAGCCACAAUGGAACUGAGACACGGUCCAUACUCCUACGGGAGGCAGCAGUGGGGAAUUUUACGCAAUGGGGGAAACCCUGACGUAGCGACACCGCGUGAACGAAGAAGCCUUUUGGGGUGUAAAGUUCUGUCAGCAGGGACGAAAAAAAUGACGGUACCUGCAGAGGAAGCAUCGGCUAACUACGUGCCAGCAGCCGCGGUAAGACGUAGGAUGCAAGCGUUGUCCGGAUUUAUUGGGCGUAAAGAGUUCGUAGGUGGUUUGUUAAGUCUGAUGUUAAAGACUGGGGCUCAACCUCGGAAAUGCAUUGGAUACUGGCAGACUUGAGUGCAGUAGAGGCAAGUGGAAUUCCAGGUGUAGCGGUGAAAUGCGUAGAUAUCUGGAAGAACACCGGUGGCGCAAGCGACUUGCUGGGCUGUAACUGACACUGAGGAACGAAAGCUA
RNAcentral lists this ribosomal RNA (712 nucleotides) under uncultured bacterium. Its description in RNAcentral is "bacterial SSU rRNA". It matches the Rfam family "Bacterial small subunit ribosomal RNA", at positions 8 to 762 of the family's 1533-position model. The record is from RNAcentral.